GGAGCACAGGCUGAAGGAGAGUGGAAGACAGCAGUUGGCCUGUGAUGGGGCAUUGAGAGAAAGAGAUUCUUACCCCCAUUCCACAGGGGAGAAACUGAGGCUCAGGGAGACUUAAGGAUCAUGCUGAAGAGGUUAUCUGGGGACAAAGCUUACUCAGGAUGUGGAGGGGGAUGCUGAGGAACAGAGACUGGAGCCUGGGAAGAAGUACAAUGCUGAUUAUGAUCUGUCAGCUCGGCAAGGGGCAGACACCCUGGCCUUCAUGUCUCUCCUGGAGGAGAAGUUGCUCCCGGUGCUGGUACAUACUUUUUGGAUAGACACCAAGAACUACGUGGAAGUGACCCGGAAGUGGUAUGCAGAGGCUAUGCCCUUUCCCCUCAACUUCUUCCUGCCUGGCCGCAUGCAGCGGCAGUACAUGGAACGGCUACAGCUGCUGACCGGGGAGCACAGGCCUGAGGAUGAGGAAGAGCUGGAGAAGGAGCUGUACCGAGAGGCUCGAGAGUGUCUGACCCUGCUCUCUCAGCGCCUGGGCUCUCAAAAGUUCUUCUUUGGAGAUGCCCCUGCCUCCUUGGACGCCUUCGUCUUUAGCUACUUGGCCCUGCUGCUGCAGGCAAAGCUGCCCAGUGGGAAGCUGCAGGUCCACCUGCGGGGGCUGCACAACCUCUGUGCCUAUUGUACCCACAUUCUCAGUCUCUACUUCCCCUGGGAUGGAGCUGAGGUACCACCGCAACGCCAGACACCAGCAGGCCCAGAGACUGAGGAGGAGCCAUACCGGCGCCGGAACCAGAUCCUAUCUGUGCUGGCAGGACUGGCAGCCAUGGUGGGCUACGCCUUGCUCAGUGGCAUUGUCUCCAUCCAGCGGGCAACGCCUGCUCGGGCCCCAGGCACCCAGACCCUGGGCAUGGCUGAGGAGGAUGAAGAGGAAUGAUUUGUCCUCA
Molecule: small RNA, 935 nt
Filed under: Pongo abelii (Sumatran orangutan)
Lineage: Eukaryota; Metazoa; Chordata; Mammalia; Primates; Hominidae
Description: processed transcript
Source: RNAcentral